GAGAAAGUCAGUUUGAACUGGAACUCUAAGCUGCAAGGACAUGGCCUGGAGCUGUUGGUAGCCAUCUACCAUAGGGAAAGGAAAUUGUACCCUAGAAUGAAGCCAGCACCUGAGAAAUCUGAGUCAGAGGGCAAGGUCAGCCCAGUCGUGGGAACACUCCCGACAACAGAAAGCGUCUGGGGAGCCAGGAAUGGAGCCCUUUUCACUGAUCUGCUGGAGUCUUCACUGUAGCAGCACCGCUUACAUUGUCCUUCUGCUUCCUCGGCCUUCCCACCUCCUGUGCUCAAGACCACAGUAUGAGGCAUGUGCAGAAGAUCCAGUUCACAAAACUCCAUCAUAGAAAUGAGCCCAGAAGAGCAGACAGUUGGAUGUGCUUAGUGUCACCUUCUGGCUUUCCUAUUAAAUAGAAUCUGAGUAACAGACAAAGGAAACAAAAGUGAAAGACAUCAGAGAAGCCCAAAGGAACUACUUGAUGGAACAAACAAAUAAAAACAUGGGGCAAGAAGUAAUGGGAAGAAAGGCGGAAGAGUCGUACAGGCUGGGUUUCCAGGAAGGACCUCAGGAAUAGCUGGAGUUUCUGUGUAUAGGGUGAUGUAUACAGACAGUUUUAAAGAUGAUUUCCAUGAUAUGAAGAGUGUCUAGA
This is a long non-coding RNA of Heterocephalus glaber (naked mole-rat), 643 nucleotides long. RefSeq lists it as uncharacterized. The record is from RefSeq and is a predicted model, not a curated record. Lineage: Eukaryota; Metazoa; Chordata; Mammalia; Rodentia; Bathyergidae.